GAGGUGACUCGCUGUCGGAAGCCAGGAGGUGCGUGAAGACCACUGGCCGGUCUUCACAGCGCAGGAAGUUACGCUCUCUGCCGCAAAGCGAGAGGAAGGGGAAGGAAGCCUCGUAGCGCCCGCUGUGGUUGGGUCUCAGACGGGAGAAGAAAGUGACCAGGAACUGCAGGUCUGUGGGAACAAAAGGCACGAUCAUGCUCGGUGACCCAGCUUCCCCGACACGCUCCUUUUCCUGGGAAUACCAGCACUGGCACGAGACAGCGGCCCCCCCUCGUGGAUGGUGCCUUCCCUCAGAGUCGGGGAGCCGAGGCCCUGAAGGGUAGAGAGAGACACGAGGGAGCAGUGCAGUAAGCAAUACCUUUGAAGCAGGUGAUAAAGUUCUUCAUUUUGGAGUCAUCUAGGAAAAGCUGCAGAAGGGACACAGUGGACAGUAAGUCCUGGCAAGAAAGCCGGUGGUGUUCGCUGUCCUUGCUUUUCUGUCUAAUGUGUUCAGGGGGGCAUGUGGAAGGGCCCUGCGGACUCUCCCCACAUCUACAGACAGGUUUCCAGGGUUGCAGCCCUCACCCCUUUUUCUACAGCAGGUUUGACAGCCGCUUGUCCCUAGCAAUCGCGAGCAAGCACUCGGCUCUGGGACUGCUGCUAGGACAGGCUAGUGUGCGCGGGAUUACGAUGCGGUGAAAGCGGAAGGCCCCGGAAUUAACUCUUCCAGCCUGGGCUUUGAAAGGUUCAAAGCCACGCGUAGCACCUAUCCCAGGUCUCGCCUCUAGAACUACUCCCCACCCGGUGCCGAUGGAUUCCGCAGUCCCCUCAGGUCUCCUCCCUCUGUCACACGCCAGGCACACCUGGCCUUGGUGAUCCACAUAGUAGAAAUACUCGCGGGUUCUGGGCUCCGGGCUUUGACCCUGUGUGUAGGAGACACGCUCGACCCCACUGCAGGUCCGAGCUCUCUGCGACCUCGCCAAGACUAGAGCCAAGUUACGCACUGCCCCACUAGGCGGCCACAUUCUUCCACACCGGAAGCGGAUCACACAGUGUUGUGCCUGGGGCUUUGGGUUCCGCCGGCAACACGUGCUCGGAGGGGCGGAGCUGUCUAUCCCGCCCCCGGAAGUAGCUGCCAGACGUGGACUCCCCCGCCCCCUUGUCAGAAGUAACCUGAAAGAAACACAAUCAGCGAGUGUGCACUUGAACUUUAUUCACACGGAGCACUGUCCCCUCGAGCCACACGUACGAGGGAGCGCCUGCGGCCGAGAGGCCCUGGAGAGAGAGGCCAGGACCUCCGCAUGACGGGACUUUUGUUUUUAAUAAAUAAAAACUCUAAAAAUAUAUAUAUAUAAACAGGAGAAAUGAAGUUUGACAACUGUUGGAACUCAGAUUCCAGAAUGGAAAACGCAAACGAGUCCAGGCAGGUCUCAUCCACGCGCCGCCCGUGUGUGGAGUUUGGUCAGAGGCCGCGAGGUCAAAGGAGGGUGGUGCUAACUUGCUCAGCGCGAGGACCGCAAUGGCAGUUCAAGAGCUAAAUAGCAUCUGGUUAAAAC
RNAcentral lists this long non-coding RNA (1535 nucleotides) under Mus musculus (house mouse). RNAcentral describes it as "long non-coding RNA chr15:76722812-76724347". Lineage: Eukaryota; Metazoa; Chordata; Mammalia; Rodentia; Muridae. The record is from RNAcentral.